UUAUAUGAGACGGCUUAAAACAAUAAUCUUUGCCCUUGAUAUUAAACUAGAUUAGUUUAACAUGUGAAAUGUCAGUAAAGUAUCAUCACAUGAUUGGUUUUAGGGCACAUUUCCAACAAUCUCCCACUUGCACUAAAGCCAAUCAGCUUGGUCAUCAGUGAUGAUACCUCUUCUUUAGUCAUUUCAAAAAUGGCUGAGUAGUAGGCCUAGACAAUGGAUAUCUAUAUGUUAUCCAUAGAAGCAACCUUGAGAAUAACGACGUCACCAUUAUACAUGAUUCUUAAUCAUGUGGUUUAGUCUCUCAUUUGAGUUCAGACCUUGAUGAGACCUUGAUUCCCUGGCUUGAGCUAUCGCCCCAUUAGUGUCAUAGUGUCAGUACACUAGAGACACUUUCUGGUUGGAACCGAAUAGAGAGUUCAUAAGUGAACUUUCCCAUCCAAACAACAUUGUUGUAAGCUUCUAUAUGGCAAUAUAUUUUGCUUUCAUAAUGGAACACACUAAAGUCAUUACUUUUAAUGUUUCCAUCCAAAUAUCUCUUUAGUCAUAAUAAAGAGAUAUUUGUUUAUCUCUUUAUUCAUAAUGAAGAAACAUCCAAUGAUGGAUUAGAUUCAUAAUCUAAUACAUUUACGCUUCCACUACGUUACUCCAAUUCUUCCUCAAAUAUUAAGGAAUCUAUCCUUUAGUAUUUUUUAAAUACUUAAGGACUCACUUGACAGUUGCCAUGGUUCUGAUCCUGGGCUUGCACUGAUAUCAUCUUGUACCUUUCUAGGUACAACUUAUAUCAAUGUUUUUCAUACAAUAUGAAAUACAUAAAUCACCUUUCUGCGUAUGCAUAAAGGAUUCUAUUCACGCAUUAUUUCUUUGGGAGUCAAAGGGUACGUUCCCUUUGAGAAGAGCUACCUCCUAGUCUCACUAGAGUUGUUCUUCUGAUCGAAGUUUAUUAUCAUAUGAGAAACUUCCUAGCAUCUUUUGUCUAUUAUUAGGGCUUGAUAUAAUCCAAUUAUAUCUUGAAAUCUAUCAUUAUAGAUUUCCAUCCCAUGUAUAUAGACUAUAUCUCCCAUAUACCUUCUAUCGUUAUAGAAUGUUUAAAUUCAUAACUUUAACGAAGAAGUAUUCUUUUCAUUUCCAAAAUUAAUAUAUCAUAUAUAUAUAUAUAUAUAUUCAAAUUUAGGAAUAUGAUUAACUCCCACUAAUCUUUUGUAAACCUAGUAAACAAAAGUCAUUUACAUUUUUAUGAGAAAUCAAACGAUUUGAUCUUUCUCUCAUAAGACGCUUAUAGCUCCCACUAGCUUGCUAAGAUCCAUGAUGGAUGGAUCUCUACAACUUACAUGUCUUGUGAUUCAUAGUUUUAGACAUAUAUUAUCAAGACUAUCUUAAAAAUGGUUUCGGAAACCCAUAUUAUGUCCAAACAUUGAAUCACCAUUUAGUUGUAGUUAGCAAUCUUCGAAUUAAUUGAAAACAAGACUACGUCAAAGAUGGUUUCUUCAAAGUCAACCAAUCUUAUUGAUUGUAGUCACCUUAAGUUACCAAUUAGCUAUGAAGGUUUCAUUAUUUCGGGUCAAAUGGUACUUUACCAUUUCCUUGAGUAUAUGUCGUAUAUAUACUCAAUGUAGUCAUAAGGAUUUUCAUUCUUAUUUCUUUCGAAUUAAGAGGUGCAACUCUAUGACAUAGUCAUAAGGUUCAAACCAUACAAAGACGGUUUACAAAUCCUUCUCGACUACUUUGGAGCUUGUGGUAUAGGAACUAGGUUGUUAUAUUUGUUGAUUACUAUCUUGUCUCUCAAAGAACCCAUUCUUUGAGUUCUAUCUCUCGUUCAUUUGCGCUUGGGCAAAUCAUAUUGUAGGAUUACAAUGAACUACCCAACAAAACAACAUUUGUUAGUUGGUUUAUAGAAGCGAUAUCCAAAAGUUAAUUUAAGGAUAUCCCACAAGAGUGUUAUCAAACAAAUAUUGCUUAUAAGCACACAACCCCAAAUCUUAACAUGCUUAAGAUUUGUCUUUCUUUCCAACUACAUCUUAUGGAGUCAUGAAAAUUUUGGAAGAUCUUCUAAUUGACAAUCAUAUUGUUUUAGAAGUAUAUAUCCUAUAUAUGGAUAAAAGAUAACAUCCAACGAACUAAAUCUUAUUCAAGUUCAUUCUUCUCCUAAUGGAGAAAUUCAUUAUCUUAUGAUGCUAUUUUCCUUGAUAUCUUUCAAGGAAACUCAUCUAAGGAGGUGAAUACUUUAGACGUCUUACUCAUCAACUUACUUUUCUUGAAUUCUUUGAAACCUUUUGCAAAGUAUUCGGACUUGUGUUUAUUCAAAAUAAAUGACAGUCCAACCGAGAGCGAUCUUCGGUGAAUGUCAUCCAACAUGAGUAGUAUUAUGUUGUGGACAAGUGCCACUAACAUCUAAGUGAAUUAACCUCAACAACUUUGUGAGUCUUUCUUCUUUCAAAAGAAUAAAGAUUCGAACAUUUCGCCUCUAUACAAUUUUAACAAGAAGGUAUUGGAUCCGGAUCUAACGAUCCAAAGCAUCCAUGUACACUCAAAACAAAACAUUACCCAUGAAAUUCAAAGCCUAGUAGUUUGGUGAACCAAGACUCAACUCAAAUCAAAGUGAGUUGAGAAAUUUAUACCUUUGUAGAUUCCUCUUUGCAUAAGCAAAGGCUAAUCACCCAAGGAGAGGGCCUUCAUUCCUUGCUUCUUAGAUCCAUGGAUUUGGAUGGAAGAAUAUGUUUCUCCAAGUUCUAAAAAUAGAGAACCUCUAAGUCUCCACACCAAGGUAAGAUGUGAAGAAGAGAUGAGUGACCUUGGAGGAGAAAGAUUACUAGCUAAUCCCUCCAAGGGUGGCCGGCCUCUCUUAGAGAGAAAGGAGAGCUUUGUGUUCUCUCCAAUUUCCUCAAAAAAAACCCUUAAUGAAUUUUGGCUAUAAAGUCAUAUUUAUACCUUUAUUCAUUGGAGUGGCAAACUUGUAAUUAAAGCAAGUUCACUACCCUUCCUCUAAAUGGCCGGCCUUAGGGUAUUAUUGGGCUAUUUGGGCCUUUGUGAAUCAUUAUUCAUUAAGUUGUCAUACAAUUUAAGUCAAUGGACUUGAUGUUCAAAGCCCAUUGGGCCUUAAGGUCCAAUACUAUCCCGAGGUCUUUAACGAACUUAUUCGUUUGAUUAAUUAACAUAUUAAUUAAUCCUUGCCAUCAAUAAUUAAACCAUUUAAUUAUUCUUACUCAUCUCCGUUGUUUCUUCAAUCUUUACCUUACACGGUGUAUGAUCCAUUAGGUUCCUUUUAGCGAGGCAGUGGGAGAUUAAAACUCUUUCAAAUCGAUUGUGAAUUGAAACUUACUUUCAAUUCUCCCCUUGGUGUUUAUACACGUUUAGGGCUUCCACAAACCAUGAGUGACACCUAGUAGCAUAUCAUGGUUACACAAGCUAAUCAGAAGAGGUGGAGAACCUAUUCAGUUUAGGAUUACAAUGCAAUACGGUCUUUCUCUAAUACAAUACUCUUGACCACAUUGUUUGGUUUGAUAGUUUAUUCAUGUCUACUAUCCAAUGUGAUUCAUUUACUUAUAUGAUUAUCUUGAAUGUGAUUUGGAACGACUUCCUAAAUCUCAUUCAUACUCUGGCCAGAGAUUCUUAAUCAUAUCAUAGAGUAUUCUCCCUCAAACGGUUUGAAGGUUAGAGAUCCCUUGUUGCGCAUUCACUUGCCUCCAUGGCUAAGUGGCUUAACCCCAACUAUGCCGUGGACACCCGCGAAUGGAGUGACUUUGACAUAAUCAAAGAUCAAGGACCUAACCACAAGACAACUAUGAUGCCUCAGAUCAAAGGACUACUUUGCAUUAUCCCAACCAUGAGUUCUCAUGUGACAUGAGUAUGAGAACUCUUCGUUGAUCGUGUUCAGUGAACUCAUUCGCUAUUGAGCACCUACAUGCUUGUCUUGGUGUCAAUCACACCAAUGGCUCGAGACCAGUCACUCUCCAUGAGAGCAGACACAACACGUACUUAUCUUAACGGACUGUGAAUGCCCAAUUGGCAAUCCUAUGAUCAGGAACGUUUAGGAUAUGUAUACGAAAGAGAAAGGUCUCAUAAAUCUAACUUGUUUAAAUUACAUUCUCCUAAUUACAUAUUCCUUGGACUUAUCGUUUAAGCAUAUAACAUUUAUAUGAGACGGCUUAAAAAAACAAUAAUCUUUGCCCUUGAUAUUAAACUAGAUUAGUUUAACAUGUGAAAUGUCAGUAAAGUAUCAUCACAUGAUUGGUUUUAGGGCACAUUUCCAACAAAUGGAACACACUAAAGUCCUUACCUUUAAUGUUUCCAUCCAAAUAUCUCUUUAGUCAUAAUAAAGAGAUAUCUGAUUAUCUCUUCAUUCAAAAUGAAGAAACAUCCAAUGAUGGAUUAGAUUCAUAAUCUAAUACAUUUACGCUUCCAUUACGUUACUCUAAUUCUUCCUUAUUCUUGAGGAAUCCAUCCUUUAUUAUUUCUCAAAUACUUAAGGAUUCACUUGACAGUUGCCAUGGUUCUGAUCCUGGGCUUGCAUUGAUACCGAUCUUGGUACAACUCAUAUCAACGUUUCAUACAAUAUGAAAUACAUAAAUCACCUUUUUGCGUAUACAUAAAGGAUUCUAUUUACGCAUUAUUCCUUUGGGAGUCAAAGGGUACGUUCCGUUUGAGAAGAGUUACCUCCUAGUCUCACUAGAGUUAUUCUUCUAAUUGAAGUUUAUCAUCAUAUGAGAAACUUCCUAGCAUCUUUUGUCUAUCAUUAGGGCUUGAUAUCAUCCAAUUAUAUCCUGAAAUCAAUCAUUAUAGAUUUCCAUCCCAUGUUUAUAGACUAUGUCUCCCAUAUACAUUCCAUCAUUAUAGAAUGUUUAAAGUCAUAACUUUAACGAAGAAGUAUUCUUUUCUUUUUAUUUCCAAAAUUAAUAUAUCAUAUAUAUGUUAAAUUUUUAGGAACAUGAUUAACUCCCACUAAUCUUUUGUAAACCUAGUAAACAAAAGAUUCAUAUACAUCUUUAUGAGAAAUCAAUUGAUUUGAUCUUUCUCUCAUAAGACGCUUAUAGCUCCCACUAGCUUGCUAAGAUCCAUGAUGGAUGGAUCUCUACAACAUACAUGUCUUGUUAUUCAUAGUUUUAGACAUAUAUUAUCAAGACUAUCUUAAUAAUGGUUUCGGAAACCCAUAUUAUGUCCAAACAUUGAAUCACCAUUUAGUUGUAGCUAGCAAUCUUCGAAUUAAUUGAAACCAAGACUACGUCAAAGAUGGUUUCUUCCAAGUCAACCAUUCUCUUUGAUUGUAGUCACCUUAAGCUAACAAUUAGCUAUGAAGGUUUCAUUAUUUCGGGUCAAAUGGUACUUUACCAUUUCCUUGAGUAUAUGUCG
This 5343-nucleotide long non-coding RNA is filed under the name Malus domestica (apple). RNAcentral describes it as "long non-coding RNA (MDOM_LNC013507)". The record is from RNAcentral. Lineage: Eukaryota; Viridiplantae; Streptophyta; Magnoliopsida; Rosales; Rosaceae.